ACGGAGGGUGCGAGCGUUAUUCGGAAUUACUGGGCGUAAAGCGCGUGCAGGCGGGGGGGUAAGUCAGAUGUGGAAGCCCUGGGCUUAACCCGGGAAGUGCAUUUGAAACUGUCUUGCUUGAGUAGUGGAGAGGAAGGGGGAAUUCCCGGUGUAGAGGUGAAAUUCGUAGAGAUCGGGAGGAAUACCAGUGGCGAAGGCGCCCUUCUGGCCGGUUACUGACGCUGAGACGCGAAAGCGUGGGGAGCAAACAG
RNAcentral lists this ribosomal RNA (251 nucleotides) under uncultured prokaryote. RNAcentral describes it as "partial 16S rRNA". It matches the Rfam family "Bacterial small subunit ribosomal RNA", at positions 525 to 775 of the family's 1533-position model. The record is from RNAcentral.